This 795-nucleotide ribosomal RNA is filed under the name uncultured bacterium. RNAcentral describes it as "bacterial SSU rRNA". It matches the Rfam family "Bacterial small subunit ribosomal RNA", at positions 8 to 796 of the family's 1533-position model. The record is from RNAcentral.
AGAGUUUGAUCAUGGCUCAGAUUGAACGCUGGCGGCGUGCUUAACACAUGCAAGUCGAGCGGUAACAGGUGUAGCAAUACAUGCUGACGAGCGGCGAACGGGUGAGUAAUGCUUCGGAAUCUACCCAUUGGCGGGGAAUAACUAGCCGAAAGGUUAGCUAAUACCGCAUAAGCCCUACGGGGGAAAGCAGGGGAUCGUAAGACCUUGCACCGAUGGAUGAGCCGAAGUCGGAUUAGCUAGUUGGUAGGGUAACGGCCUACCAAGGCGACGAUCCGUAGCUGGUCUGAGAGGACGACCAGCCACACUGGGACUGAGACACGGCCCAGACUCCUACGGGAGGCAGCAGUGGGGAAUAUUGGACAAUGGGGGCAACCCUGAUCCAGCGACGCCGCGUGUGUGAAGAAGGCCUGCGGGUUGUAAAGCACUUUUAGUGGGGAUGAAAUGUUCAGGGUUAAUACCCCUGGAUCUUGACCUAACCCAAAGAAAAAGCACCGGCUAACUCUGUGCCAGCAGCCGCGGUAAUACAGAGGGUGCAAGCGUUAAUCGGAAUUACUGGGCGUAAAGCGUGCGUAGACGGUUAUCUAAGUCGGGUGUGAAAGCCCCGGGCUCAACCUGGGAAUUGCAUUCGAGACUGAAUAGCUAGGGUACGGAAGAGGGAAGCGGAAUUUCAGGUGUAGCGGUGAAAUGCGUAGAUAUCUGAAGGAACACCAGUGGCGAAAGCGGCUUCCUGGUCCAGUACCGACGUUCAGGCACGAAAGCGUGGGGAGCAAACAGGAUUAGAUACCCUAGUAGUCC